RNAcentral lists this ribosomal RNA (220 nucleotides) under uncultured bacterium. RNAcentral's name for it is "partial 16S ribosomal RNA". It matches the Rfam family "Bacterial small subunit ribosomal RNA", at positions 111 to 334 of the family's 1533-position model. The record is from RNAcentral.
UAAUGUAUGGGGAUCUGCCCGAUAGAGGGGAAUAACUACUGGAAACGGUGGCUAACACCGCAUAAUGUCUACGGACCAAAGCAGGGGCUCUUCGGACCUUGCACUAUCGGAUGAACCCAUAUGGGAUUAGCUAGUAGGUGGGGUAAAGGCUCACCUAGGCGACGAUCUCUAGCUGGUCUGAGAGGAUGAUCAGCCACACUGGGACUGAGACACGGCCCAG